CCCUUGGUAGUCUAGUUGGUUAUGGCGUUCGGCUGUAAUUGUAAAUUUCAUGAUUGUUACCGAAAAGUCACCGGUUCGAUUCCGGUCCGAGGGA
Molecule: transfer RNA, 94 nt
Filed under: Daldinia eschscholtzii
Lineage: Eukaryota; Fungi; Ascomycota; Sordariomycetes; Xylariales; Hypoxylaceae
Also listed under: 1 other name
Description: tRNA-Tyr
Rfam family: tRNA
About the family: Transfer RNA (tRNA) molecules are approximately 80 nucleotides in length. Their secondary structure includes four short double-helical elements and three loops (D, anti-codon, and T loops). Further hydrogen bonds mediate the characteristic L-shaped molecular structure. tRNAs have two regions of fundamental functional importance: the anti-codon, which is responsible for specific mRNA codon recognition, and the 3' end, to which the tRNAs corresponding amino acid is attached (by aminoacyl-tRNA synthetases). tRNAs cope with the degeneracy of the genetic code in two manners: having more than one tRNA (with a specific anti-codon) for a particular amino acid; and 'wobble' base-pairing, i.e. permitting non-standard base-pairing at the 3rd anti-codon position.
Source: RNAcentral